GACGAACGCUGGCGGUGUGCCUAAUACAUGCAAGUCGAACGCUUCUUUCCUCCCGAGUGCUUGCACUCAAUUGGAAAGAGGAGUGGCGGACGGGUGAGUAACACGUGGGUAACCUACCCAUCAGAGGGGGAUAACACUUGGAAACAGGUGCUAAUACCGCAUAACAGUUUAUGCCGCAUGGCAUAAGAGUGAAAGGCGCUUUCGGGUGUCGCUGAUGGAUGGACCCGCGGUGCAUUAGCUAGUUGGUGAGGUAACGGCUCACCAAGGCCACGAUGCAUAGCCGACCUGAGAGGGUGAUCGGCCACACUGGGACUGAGACACGGCCCAGACUCCUACGGGAGGCAGCAGUAGGGAAUCUUCGGCAAUGGACGAAAGUCUGACCGAGCAACGCCGCGUGAGUGAAGAAGGUUUUCGGAUCGUAAAACUCUGUUGUUAGAGAAGAACAAGGACGUUAGUAACUGAACGUCCCCUGACGGUAUCUAACCAGAAAGCCACGGCUAACUACGUG
RNAcentral lists this ribosomal RNA (508 nucleotides) under uncultured bacterium. RNAcentral's name for it is "partial 16S ribosomal RNA". It matches the Rfam family "Bacterial small subunit ribosomal RNA", at positions 28 to 507 of the family's 1533-position model. The record is from RNAcentral.